GAAGAGAACUGGAAAGUUCCACCGUAGAAGGUAAUAGUCCUGUAAGUGAAACGAGAAGACCACGAGUUAUGAUCCAGAGUACCACGAGACACGUGAAACCUUGUGGGAAGCAGGGAGGACCACCUCCCAAGGCUAAAUACUACCUGAUGACCGAUAGUGAAGCAGUACCGUGAGGGAAAGGUGAAAAGAACCCCGGGAGGGGAGUGAAAUAGAACCUGAAACCGUGUGCCUACAACCGCUCAGAGCCCCUUAUGAGGGUGAUGAGGUGCUUUUUGUAGAACGAGCCAACGAGUUACGGUAUGUAGCAAGGUUAAGUACUUAAGGUACGGAGCCGAAGGGAAACCGAGUCUGAAUAGGGCGACUAGUUGCAUGCCGUAGACCCGAAACCGGGUGACCUAUCCAUGGCCAGGUUGAAGCGAGGGUAAAACCUCGUGGAGGACCGAACCACGUUGCUGUUGAAAAAGCAUGGGAUGAGCUGUGGAUAGCGGAGAAAUUCCAAUCGAACCCGGAGAUAGCUGGUUCUCUCCGAAAUAGCUUUAGGGCUAGCGUCGAGUAUGAGUAGUGGAGGUAGAGCACUGAAUGGGCUAGGGGGCAUAGCGCUUACCGAACCUUAUCAAACUCCGAAUGCCACAUACUUUGAGCUCGGCAGUCAGACUACGAAUGAUAAGAUCCGUGGUCAAAAGGGAAACAGCCCAGAUCGUCAGCUAAGGUCCCAAAGUGUAAGUUAAGUGGGAAAGGAUGUGAGAUUUCUAAGACAACUAGGAUGUUGGCUUAGAAGCAGCCAUUCAUUAAAAGAGUGCGUAAUAGCUCACUAGUCGAGAGAUCUUGCGCCGAAAAUGUAACGGGGCUAAACUUACCACCGAAGCUACGGGCUUGAACUUAGUUCAAGCGGUAGGAGAGCGUCGUAACCGGGCUGAAGUCGUACCGUAAGGAGCGGUGGACUGGUUACGAGUGAGAAUGUUGGCAUCAGUAGCGAGAUGUGGGUGAGAAUCCCACAGGCCGAAAACCUAAGGUUUCCUCAGGAAGGUUCGUCCGCUGAGGGUUAGUCGGGACCUAAGCCGAGGCCGAAAGGCGUAGGUGAUGGACAACUGGUUGAUAUUCCAGUACCACUACCAU
Molecule: ribosomal RNA, 1116 nt
Filed under: Clostridium perfringens
Lineage: Bacteria; Bacillati; Bacillota; Clostridia; Eubacteriales; Clostridiaceae
Description: partial 23S ribosomal RNA
Rfam family: Bacterial large subunit ribosomal RNA
Source: RNAcentral